This 427-nucleotide ribosomal RNA is filed under the name uncultured bacterium. RNAcentral describes it as "partial 16S ribosomal RNA". It matches the Rfam family "Bacterial small subunit ribosomal RNA", at positions 355 to 774 of the family's 1533-position model. The record is from RNAcentral.
UAGGGAAUCUUCCGCAAUGGGCGAAAGCCUGACGGAGCAACGCCGCGUGAGUGAAGAAGGUCUUCGGAUCGUAAAACUCUGUUAUUAGGGAAGAACAAAUGUGUAAGUAACUAUGCACGUCUUGACGGUACCUAAUCAGAAAGCCACGGCUAACUACGUGCCAGCAGCCGCGGUAAUACGUAGGUGGCAAGCGUUAUCCGGAAUUAUUGGGCGUAAAGCGCGCGUAGGCGGUUUUUUAAAUCUGAUGUGAAAGCCCACGGCUCAACCGUGGAGGGUCAUUGGAAACUGGAAAACUUGAGUGCAGAAGAGGAAAGUGGAAUUCCAUGUGUAGCGGUGAAAUGCGCAGAGAUAUGGAGGAACACCAGUGGCGAAGGCGACUUUCUGGUCUGUAACUGACGCUGAUGUGCGAAAGCGUGGGGAUCAAACA